RNAcentral lists this ribosomal RNA (403 nucleotides) under uncultured bacterium. RNAcentral's name for it is "partial 16S ribosomal RNA". It matches the Rfam family "Bacterial small subunit ribosomal RNA", at positions 30 to 526 of the family's 1533-position model. The record is from RNAcentral.
AUUUAACGCUGGCGGCAGGCCUAACACAUGCAAGUCGAGCGAGCGGCGGACGGGUGAGUAAUGUAUGGGGACUGCACGAUAGAGGUGGAUAACUACUGGAAACGGUGGCUAAUACCGCAUACUGAUGGAGAACCCAUAGGGGAUUAGCUAGUAGGUAAGGUAAUGGCUUACCUAGGCGCCGAUCCCUAGCUGGUCUGAGAGGAUGAUCAGCCACACUGGGACUGAGACACGGCCCAGACUCCUACGGAGGCAGCAGUGGGGAAUAUUGCACAAUGGGCGCAAGCCUGAUGCAGCCAUGCCGCGUGUAUGAAGAAGGCCCUAGGGUUGUAAAGUACUUUCAGUCGGGAGGCGUUACCGACAGAAGAAGCACCGGCUAACUCCGUGCCAGCAGCCGCGGUAAUUC